GGGCGUUAUUGGUUUAAAUUUUUUUUUGUUGUUAGUUAAUUUAUUAGGCAAAUUAUUGUUUUGUUAUUGUAUUCUUAUUGAUUUAAUUUUUUAUUUAUAGUUCAUUUGUACUGUGGGGGGACACUUAAUUUGUUUCUAUAAGUUGGCUUUAUUUGUUGUACCUUGUGUAUCAGGGUUUACUAAUUAUUAUUAUUUAUUUUUAUUUCCCGAUUUCGGAGGAGCUAGGAAUUUGUUUUAGUUACUGUUUCAUUAGUAUUAAUAACAUUUAUUUGGUGGUGAUAUGUUAGCCGUUUCCGGGGAUAUCUGGUUUCUCAAGAAAUGAAUUUAAUUCACACUUUGUAUUUAAUUUUUAUUUUUGUUUAUUUGGGUUUAAUACGUGGUGAAGGUGUUGGGGGAUAAGCUUUGAUUCUUUUUUAUAAUAUUUUUUCUUGAUUUGUCUAGUGGGCUUUAUGAUGGCCAUCUUUAUGAGUAUUUUAAAAUUCUACUUUUUGUGGUUGUGAUUUUCUUUCUAUUUAAUUUUUUUAUUGGGAUUUUUAAUUUAAUUUUUUAUUUGUAGUAUUUUUGGUUGAAUUAGUAUAUUUGCUUUAUUUUGUUUUAGUGUUUUUUGAGUCUUUCAAAGGAAUUAGGCAAAAUUUAAAUGUUCGCCUGUUUAACAAAAACAUCUCUUCCUGUUUAGUUGAUUUGAAGUAUGGCCUGCCCGCUGAUAAUAUUGAAGGGCCGCGGUAUCUUGACCGUGCAAAGGUAGCAUAAUCAUUAGUUCUUUAAUUGUGAACUGGUAUGAAUGGUUUGACGAGGCAUUAGCUGUCUUUGUUUUGGAUUUAUUGAAUUUGUUGUUUGGGUAAAAAUACCUAAAUUUUUUUGUGGGACGAGAAGACCCUAUAGAGUUUUAUAUAAUGUGUUCUUUUUAGUUUGUUAUAUUUUGUGAAUUAUUUAUAUUUUGUUGGGGUGAUGGGAAGAUAAAAGUAACUCUUCUUUUAUAUUUUCACUUGUUUGUGUUUUUAUGAUCCUUUAUUAUUGAUUAUAAGAUCAAAUUACCUUAGGGAUAACAGCAUAAUCUUUUUUGAGAGUUCUUAUUGACAAAAGGGUUUGUGACCUCGAUGUUGGAUUAAGAUGAAUUUUUGGUGUAGAGGCUUUAAAAAUUAGUUUAAUUAGGUCUGUUCGACCUUUAAAAUCUUACAUGAUCUGAGUUCAAACCGGCGUGAGCCAGGUUGGUUUCUAUCUAUAAUUUUCUUAUAUUUCUUAGUACGAGAGGACCAGAUAUUUGAAAUAAUUUUCUUUGAUUGAAUAUCCAUUAAUUU
Molecule: ribosomal RNA, 1298 nt
Filed under: Procryptotermes hesperus
Lineage: Eukaryota; Metazoa; Arthropoda; Insecta; Blattodea; Kalotermitidae
Description: 16S ribosomal RNA
Rfam family: Bacterial large subunit ribosomal RNA (bases 862-1222)
Source: RNAcentral